UCGCUUCGGGAUGGGCUCGCGGUCCAUCAGCUAGUUGGUAGGGUAAUGGCCUACCAAGGCUACGACGGAUAGCCGGCCUGAGAGGGUGUACGGCCACAGGGGCACUGAGAUACGGGUCCC
This 120-nucleotide ribosomal RNA is filed under the name uncultured bacterium. RNAcentral describes it as "partial 16S ribosomal RNA". It matches the Rfam family "Bacterial small subunit ribosomal RNA", at positions 215 to 334 of the family's 1533-position model. The record is from RNAcentral.